AGACAUCACUCCUCACAUUUUUCCACUCAUAAAAACUCAUACACAGAUGCAGAUAGCCAUCGAUAUACAGGACACCACAUUCACUCACAAUAGAAUAUACAUACACACUGCAAAUUCACACACUAGACAUAUACACACAACAACACCCAUCUCAAAGCCUCCAUUUUUUCUCACAUACGCACCAUCAGAAAGGAGAGAGGAACCUAUACACAGCAACGCACUCACACACAUAUACAUAUACGAACAUCCACAGCAACACAUAAAAAGGAGGGCUUGAUUUUCUCCAUUGAUCCCUCAUUCACCUUCUACACAUCCUCACUACACAGAAAUAUACACAACGCAGACUGGAGAUGGAGGGAAUCACACAUCAUCACUCUUAGGAACACAAUCACAGACCUCACCUAUUCCAUACACACACAAUCACUAAAAUUAACUCACACACGUACAAACACAGUUGAACAACGGAGAAUCGGUAGCAAAGGAAGAGAAAAUGGCGGAGGGGAGAUAGAGAUCAGAAAUAGAAAAGAUCUCUCUCUCUCGAGAAAGAAAAUAGAGAGAAAACUGGUUUUAGCUUGGUUUUCGGUGAAGCCUCGUCGGAAUACACCGUCCCAUCACUGCCAAACAGCCAAAAACCCAAAACCAGCGAGAACACCCCAAAUAUCUGAUAAGAAAUCGACCAAUCUCACGUUCUUUGCUACUAUUUGGGUCGCUGGAGCUGCAAACAAGAGCCCACUUAGAUUUCAACAAACCCAUUUAAGUUCAAGCCAAAAUCGGCAGUUUAGGCUCGUAUUGUGGUUGUUUUAGGCUGGUCUGUUGGGAUCGAGGUUCGAAUCGAGAGUUUUCAAAUCCGUCUUUGUCUUUCGAUCACAUAAUUUGGCACAAUAAAAGCUUCAAUCGAGGUUCAAAUCUAUUGUUCUCUUUUUAUUUCAUCUUUUAUUAUAUUUAGUGUGUUACAUUAAAUAUCAUGUGUUGUUUGAUCUUGGUUGGUGAUGAAUUGCUACUUGUUUGAUUUGGAUGAUUGUUACUUGUUUGAUUUGGAUGAUUCUCUUGGAUUAUGAUUUAUAUGAUGAAAUGAUAUUUUGUUUGAGAAUUAAGAUUGGUUUUUUGGGGCGAGAUUAAAAAUUGAAAGAAGUGAAUAUUGAUUUUAUUUUGAUUCAUUGAUGAUUGUUUAAUUCGAAAUAUGUAUUGAUGUUGUUAAAUGCAAUUGCGUCACAAUGGGUUGAAAUUGGAAGGCAAAUGGUAGGACGGGUAGGAAAAUUUAGGCAUUGUGAAUUGAUGGAAUGUUUGAAAUGUGUGUUAAAAUGGUUUUGUUUUAUCGCAUUUGAUUCAAUUGUACUCAUUUGCUCGGGGAAUGCCCCGAGAUAUUUAUAUUGUUUUAUCCAGGAAAUGCCUCGAGAAAGUUGUACUCAAAGAUGGUUCGUGAUCAAGGCCCGAGGUAUUGGGUAGAGCAUAGGCUAGGAUUAGUUUAGAAUAGGAUUUAUAUUUAAGCAUUUUUCUAUUUUCUAGACUUUAUAAUUCGGUCAUAGACACUAUUUUGGAUUUUUGAUUAUUUGGUUGUUUUGUUUGCUUGUUAUAUGUUUUGUUGGUUUAUACACUUCGUAGCAUUAUACUAGCUGAUAUACUCCAUGAAGAGACCAUGGUCGAACCACGGGAUCGAGGGGUGCAUAACACCUUCCCCUCGAUCAACCAAAAUCCUCAGCUGGAAUCUCUGUUCGCGAAUCAGUAUCUAGAGUCAAAUCAUUUUGAAAAAAGAUUUUUCAAAGAUGACUUGGCACACCAGAUUUAUGUCAAGUGGCGACUCUUAGUUUAAAUAUAAGAAGUCCUUUUCAAAACUAAUUUUCAUUUCUUGUCAUUUAAUAAUAAAAUCCUUUCAAACUUAUAAUCAUUCCUUUUGGUAAAAAGGGGUGUGACAGCUCUGGGCACUAGCUGGGGAGACUUUUUUUGAAUUCAAGCUUAUUUUUGGGGUAAUAUAGUCAUUUGAUGGACUGAUUGUUGCAUCUUUGAGGGUAAUAUAGUCAUUUGAUGGACUGAUUGUUGCAUCAUGCUUCUCUGGCUCCUUAGUAUAAGCCUAAUAUAUUCACAACACCAUAUGUCAUCUCUGAUUUUGCUGCUCAACCCUCUACUGAGGCUUCCAUAUUGUCUAUCCGCCCAG
This 2152-nucleotide long non-coding RNA is filed under the name Capsicum annuum. RNAcentral's name for it is "long non-coding RNA (CANN_LNC018070)". The record is from RNAcentral. Lineage: Eukaryota; Viridiplantae; Streptophyta; Magnoliopsida; Solanales; Solanaceae.